GGAUUUAAAACCUGAUGCCCUAAAGUCGUCUGACUUGGGAGUCAUCGACCUAAAGCUCGCUAUAGGGGUCAUCUAGAAAGUUUAAGGGAGGGACGACCGCACAAAGAGUGGUCAAAAAAUAAAUAAAUAAAAAAUCUUUUUUAAGCUUGAUCAAGCCUCGAACACUUGUUUUAGAGUAGGCAUUUGACCAGAGGUCGGUAACUUGGUUGAUUCUUGGAGGUUGAAGCAGUCAAAAAUAGGAAAAUCCACACUUAUUGAUAUGUUGAACUGUAAUUAGUAAAUUCCAAC
This 288-nucleotide long non-coding RNA is filed under the name Olea europaea (common olive). RNAcentral's name for it is "long non-coding RNA (OEUR_LNC002249)". The record is from RNAcentral. Lineage: Eukaryota; Viridiplantae; Streptophyta; Magnoliopsida; Lamiales; Oleaceae.